RNAcentral lists this long non-coding RNA (2380 nucleotides) under Triticum aestivum (bread wheat). RNAcentral's name for it is "long non-coding RNA (TAES_LNC001445)". Lineage: Eukaryota; Viridiplantae; Streptophyta; Magnoliopsida; Poales; Poaceae. The record is from RNAcentral.
UGUAAAAUUGAUUGUCUCUGGUUACUCUCGUGAUCUGUAUCUAGAGGGCAAGUCAGGUCUUGGAAUGCUGAGGUGAGACUUUCCAUGGCCUCUGUUUUUCUUGAUGGGUGGAUUACACAUUACUUCCUUGGAUGUUUAAAGAUUAUUAUAUCAUUGCUCCCCUUUUUAUCGGCAAGCAUUCUCUCAUCUUCUGGUAACUUGAGUAAGAUGCAACACACUAAUGCUUUCUUAGUCUGGUUUGUUGCAAAAAAUAAUUGAAGUGUGCAGACAGGCAGCAUGGAAACACUAAAGAGAAGUUUCAUACGUACUAAUAGCUGGAGUGAUUUGAUACCUGUAGUAACCGUCUUAGAAUAAAUAAGAUUCAGCUAUUUCUAAAGAUAUUAGACCAUAAGAUUAUUCUUAAGUAAAGAUGUUUCAUGCUUCUGUUUCUGCAAAAUUUCUAAGAGUAUAUGAUUUCAUUUUCCUUCUUUCCCAGUUAUAAAUUUAUUGGCAUCAAAGUAGAGCUUCAGGUUUAUGGUUCAGUAUAUCAUUGCAAAGUAGUUUAUGGCUCAGUAUAUCACUACAGGUUCCUUACACUCUCAAAUUUCAAUGUUUUUGUAUUUUUGUCGAUGGAACCAUGUUCUUUGACUAUAAAGUAGCAGAGAUUUCUUUUCUAUCAAUUCUAAUCCCUUUUUAUGCAUUGCUGGUUUGCUAUCAAACUCUCAAAAAUGGAAAAACAACUUUACUUUGGUUUUUUGAGAACCUUCCUGUAGAGUACCUCGACAGAGACAAAUAUGCGGUCAAGGAUAUAUUCGAUGGAUUUUCAUGCCAAACUUGGAGGAUAUUUUUGCAGGUUCGUUGCUUGCAUUAUUGUUUUCUUACUUUCUGUUCUUCAAGACAAUAUCUUCCUAGCAUUGCUCUAUAAAUUUAAAUCCAUCUUUUUGUUCUUUGGAUUAUCAUGGCGUACUCAUCCUGUGUAAUCCAAGCAAGGGCCUUCAUGUUUGCAGAUAGUUUGGUACUCUCGUGGUUAUUUUUGUGGUGAUUUGCCUUCUAUUCAUUACUUGGUAACCAUCUACUGCAGGUCAGCUAUUGUCCAGCUGCUAACCUUAUGGUGAGUGGUUGAUGGUGCAUGUUUUCCUAUUAGUUUCUCUCUAUGCCAAUGUCUGAAUUUUAUCUUGCCGUUUUGCAUUUCUACAGGCCUUUCAUUCUCAUUGUGAUUCCCCGAGAUGCGCUAUUAGUAGGCAUCCACUUUCUAAUAAAAAUUUGGAAGUCAACUUGAAAAGAGUCAUUUAUCUAGCUACAGCAACCUUCCUUGCUUUUGCAAAUAAUACUUUAUGGUUGACAAUAUAGUCUACACCUGCCAAACAUUUACACGUUAGUAUAACCAGAAAGUCAGAUGAUCGUUCCAUGUUGGUUAGCCGUGAUAAAUCAAAUUUCUAGAGUAGCAGAUGAUUCGUGUCAGGUUUCUUUUAGAGAUUGAAAUAUGUCUUGACUCCGAAAUAAGUAGUACAACGUCCAGUUCUGCAUAGGUGAAAGCAUACUGUGCAAAACCGGACAGCCUUCUAAAGCUCUGAAACUACUAUUUGUUUUUGUUUUUUGCGGUUAACUACUACUUGUUGUGUGAUCAGUACCCCCUUUUUAUACUCUGUAUAUGCUUUCUACUUACUAGGAAAAAAUGCGUGAGAACGAUGGCCUAGAGGAUGUGAAUUGCACUCGAAUAUAUGCAGGUUUCUUGCCAAACUAACUGCCACUAUUAUAUUUCAGGUGCUUCUUCUGUAACUUAGUGUAUUUUCCUGGCUCUUCUCAUUUCCUGGCGAACUUUUUAGUAUGUACAGUUGAAUCGUUGGAAGUUGUUUUCUACUAUCUAUAGAGGUUUUAUCCAAACUAUUAGCUGCCUGACUUGCUUUUUCGAAAUACACCGUCCUGAUAGACAUUUCCAUGGGAUGUUAGAAAAAUAUAUGUGAAUUUGCAUACAUUUUAUAAAUUCCUAUCUUUACUUAUCCAUGCUUCCCCAUAGAUAAAUAGCAGGUUCAACAAAAAUGAAUGUUCUCUUUUGUUCAAAUUUCAAGAAAGUGUGCUUCACGCUUCUCUUUCUGCAAUAUGUUUCGGAGUGUAUGAUUUGAUUUUCCUACUUUCCCGGUUACAAUACUGUGUACUUCAUUCCUAGCUUUGCUUGAAAUAGGUAUGCAGGUUAUCGAAAGCUCCAUUUUUCUCCAUUAUAUAGAUUAUAUAGCUUUGUGAUCAAAGGUAGGUUGUCACACAGGGGAUUUGGCUUGUGAAAGUUAUAUACAUCCAUGAGUCCCUAACAAAAUAAUCGCAGCUCAUGUUAAAAGGAUCAGGGAACCUCGACCAUUUUUCUGAAACAUGUCUCAGCUCAUGUUCCGACUUUCUACACUACUAU